GAGUUUGAUCCUGGCUCAGAACGAACGUUGGCGGCGUGGAUUAGGCAUGCAAGUCGAACGAAUCCCCUUGCUGUAGCAAUACAGUGAGGGGGGAAGUGGCGAAAGGGGCAGUAAUGUAUGGGUAACCUACCCGGGGGUCGUGGAUAGCCUUCCUAACGGAUGGGUAAUACACGGCGAUUCAGCGAGAUGGCAUCACCUUGCUGGGAAAGAAUUUCGCCUCCGGAGGGGCUCAUAUCGUAUUAGCUAGUUGGUGAGGUAACGGCUCACCAAGGCGAAGAUGCGUAGCGGGUGUGAGAGCACGACCCGCGCCACUGGCACUGAGACACUGGCCAGACACCUACGGGUAGCUGCAGUCGAGGAUCUUCGGCAAUGGGCGCAAGCCUGACCGAGCGACGCCGCGUGGAGGAUGAAGGCCUUCGGGUUGUAAACUCCUGUCGAGGGGGAUCAAGGGGCAACCUUGAGUGAUCCCUGGAGGAAGCACGGGCUAAGUUCGUGCCAGCAGCCGCGGUAAGACGAACCGUGCGAACGUUGUUCGGAAUCACUGGGCAUAAAGGGCGCGUAGGCGGCUUUUCAAGUCAGGGGUGAAAUCCGGCAGCUUAACUGUCGAAGUGCCCUUGAUACUGAUGAGCUCGAGGGAGGUAGGGGUGUGUGGAACUUCCGGUGGAGCGGUGAAAUGCGUUGAUAUCGGAAGGAACGCCGGUGGCGAAAGCGACGCUCUGGACCUCUUCUGACGCUGAGGCGCGAAAGCUAGGGGAGCAAACGGGAUUAGAUACCCCGGUAGUCCUAGCCCUAAACGAUGGGUACUCAGAUCAGUGGACUUCAACAUGGGUUCACUGUGCCGAAGCUAAUGUGUUAAGUACCCCGCCUGGGGAGUAUGGUCGCAAGGCUGAAACUCAAAGGAAUUGACGG
RNAcentral lists this ribosomal RNA (909 nucleotides) under uncultured Planctomycetota bacterium. RNAcentral's name for it is "bacterial SSU rRNA". It matches the Rfam family "Bacterial small subunit ribosomal RNA", at positions 9 to 916 of the family's 1533-position model. The record is from RNAcentral. Lineage: Bacteria; Pseudomonadati; Planctomycetota.